This 332-nucleotide unclassified non-coding RNA is filed under the name soil metagenome. RNAcentral's name for it is "partial contains 5.8S ribosomal RNA, internal transcribed spacer 2, and large subunit ribosomal RNA". The stretch from base 1 to 120 matches the Rfam family "5.8S ribosomal RNA", at positions 35 to 154 of the family's 154-position model. The record is from RNAcentral.
GAUGAAGAACGCAGCGAAACGCGAUAGCUAGUGUGAAUUGCAGAUUUUCGUGAAUCAUCGAGUCUCUGAACGCACAUUGCGCCCCCUGGUAUUCCGGGGGGCAUGCCUAUUCGAGCGUCGUGGUCACGCUUCAAGCCCGGCUUGAUGAUGGGGAACGCCCUCUCUCGGGGGGGGGCCUCCUUCAAAUGCAACUCCAGACGCCUCGUUGGCUGGGAGCGCAGCAGCAGUGCGCUUCCCCGAGGCGACCGGAUGCCCCUCGUGGGCUCGAGAUUGCUAGACCUCGAAUUAGGCAGGGAUACCCGCUGAACUUAAGCAUAUCAAUAAGCGGAGGA